Molecule: ribosomal RNA, 493 nt
Filed under: uncultured Silanimonas sp.
Lineage: Bacteria; Pseudomonadati; Pseudomonadota; Gammaproteobacteria; Lysobacterales; Lysobacteraceae
Description: bacterial SSU rRNA
Rfam family: Bacterial small subunit ribosomal RNA
Source: RNAcentral
UGGCGGCAGGCCUAACACAUGCAAGUCGAGCGGCAGCGCGGGGGCAACCCUGGCGGCGAGCGGCGGACGGGUGAGGAAUUCGUCGGAAUCUGCCUUUUUGUGGGGGAUAACGUAGGGAAACUUACGCUAAUACCGCAUACGACCUACGGGUGAAAGUGGGGGACCUUCGGGCCUCACGCAGAAAGAUGAGCCGACGACCGAUUAGCUAGUUGGUAGGGUAAAGGCCUACCAAGGCGACGAUCGGUAGCUGGUCUGAGAGGAUGAUCAGCCACACUGGGACUGAGACACGGCCCAGACUCCUACGGGAGGCAGCAGUGGGGAAUAUUGGACAAUGGGCGCAAGCCUGAUCCAGCCAUGCCGCGUGUGUGAAGAAGGCCUUCGGGUUGUAAAGCACUUUUGUCCGGAAAGAAAUCUUGUAGCUUAAUACGCUGCAAGGAUGACGGUACCGGAAGAAUAAGCACCGGCUAACUUCGUGCCAGCAGCCGCGGUAAUA